RNAcentral lists this transfer RNA (25 nucleotides) under Micrococcus luteus. RNAcentral describes it as "tRNA-Ala". The record is from RNAcentral. Lineage: Bacteria; Bacillati; Actinomycetota; Actinomycetes; Micrococcales; Micrococcaceae.
AGCGCCACCUUGCCAAGGUGGAGGU